This 493-nucleotide ribosomal RNA is filed under the name uncultured bacterium. RNAcentral describes it as "partial 16S ribosomal RNA". It matches the Rfam family "Bacterial small subunit ribosomal RNA", at positions 28 to 507 of the family's 1533-position model. The record is from RNAcentral.
GACGAACGCUGGCGGCGUGCUUAACACAUGCAAGUCGAACGGUGAAGGGACCGGUUUUUGCUGGUUCUGGAUGAGUGGCGAACGGGUGAGUAACACGUGAGUAACCUGCCCCCUUCUUCUGGAUAACCGCAUGAAAGUGUGGCUAAUACGGGAUAUUCUGCGCCUGCUGCAUGGUGGGUGUGGGAAAGAUAUUGUUUCGGUGGGGGAUGGGCUCGCGGCCUAUCAGCUUGUUGGUGGGGUGAUGGCCUACCAAGGCGGUGACGGGUAGCCGGCCUGGGAGGGUGGACGGUCACACUGGGGCUGAGACACGGCCCAGACUCCUACGGGAGGCAGCAGUGGGGAAUAUUGCACAAUGGGCGCAAGCCUGAUGCAGCGACGCCGCGUGAGGGAUGGAGGCCUUCGGGUUGUAAACCUCUUUCGCCAGUGAAGCAGGCCUGUCCCUUUUGUGGGUGGGUUGACGGUAGCUGGAUAAGAAGCGCCGGCUAACUACGUG